Molecule: long non-coding RNA, 211 nt
Organism: Capra hircus (goat)
Lineage: Eukaryota; Metazoa; Chordata; Mammalia; Artiodactyla; Bovidae
Exons: 3
Source: RefSeq, a predicted model, not a curated record
CUUGGAUGGAGGCCAGGGCUGCUGCUCCUCGCUGCACGGUAUUUCCUGUAGAAUGCAGUGAGCGCUAAAGCUCAGUUAAAUGUUUGACAGAAGCCUUUCUGCUCAAAAGAGUUGUCUAGUCCAAGAGUGCUGCUAUUUUUCCAUGACUGGAUCUGCGUGCCAGUUACAGGGAAAACAUAUCUGAAAAUAUGUGCUCCUUGUGAAGGACGAA